ACGAUGAAGAACGCAGCCAGCUGCGAGACUUGGUGUGAAUUGCAGGACACAUUGAGCACUGAUUUUUCGAACGCACAUUGCGGCCUCGGUUCCUAGCCGGGGCCUCGCCUGUCUGAGGGUCGGAUGAGACUUACCGAAGGGGAAUCCUUUCCCCUACUUGGUCGUUCCGGGCACGUUUUCGUAACGGACCCGCCGACCUAAAAACGAGACUCGUUCUCCGAACUUCUCUUCCGAGUUCGGCGGUCGAUGGCCGUGGAAUUCGCGAGUUCAAGAGUCGGAACCGCCUGCCAUCGGUUCCUCCUGCUCUGGAAGAGAAAACCAAAGAAUGUCGACCUCAGAUCAGACGAGAUGACCCGCUGAAUUUAAGCAUAUCAAUAAGCGGAGGAA
This 387-nucleotide ribosomal RNA is filed under the name Latouchia typica. RNAcentral describes it as "eukaryotic LSU rRNA". The stretch from base 2 to 122 matches the Rfam family "5.8S ribosomal RNA", at positions 34 to 154 of the family's 154-position model. The record is from RNAcentral. Lineage: Eukaryota; Metazoa; Arthropoda; Arachnida; Araneae; Ctenizidae.